Manis javanica (Malayan pangolin) is the source of this 134-nucleotide small nuclear RNA. RefSeq annotates it as U4 spliceosomal RNA. The record is from RefSeq and is a predicted model, not a curated record. Lineage: Eukaryota; Metazoa; Chordata; Mammalia; Pholidota; Manidae.
AGCUUUGUACAGUGGCAGUAUCGUAACCAAUGAGGUUUAUCCGAGGCGCGAUUAUUGCUAAUUGAAAACUUUUCCCAAUACCCCGCCAUGACGUAAAUAAUGAAUGAACGAAUGAAUGAAUGAAUGAAACAAAU